Molecule: ribosomal RNA, 497 nt
Filed under: uncultured bacterium
Lineage: Bacteria
Description: partial 16S ribosomal RNA
Rfam family: Bacterial small subunit ribosomal RNA
Source: RNAcentral
GAUGAACGCUGGCGGCGUGCCUAAUACAUGCAAGUCGAGCGAACAGAUAAGGAGCUUGCUCCUUUGACGUUAGCGGCGGACGGGUGAGUAACACGUGGGUAACCUACCUAUAAGACUGGGAUAACUUCGGGAAACCGGAGCUAAUACCGGAUAACAUUUGGAACCGCAUGGUUCUAAAGUGAAAGAUGGUUUUGCUAUCACUUAUAGAUGGACCCGCGCCGUAUUAGCUAGUUGGUAAGGUAACGGCUUACCAAGGCAACGAUACGUAGCCGACCUGAGAGGGGUAUGCGCCACCCGGGAACUGAGACUGCGUCCAGACUCCUACGGGAGGCAGCAGUAGGGAAUCUUCCGCAAUGGGCGAAAGCCUGACGGAGCAACGCCGCGUGAGUGAUGAAGGGUUUCGGCUCGUAAAACUCUGUGAUUAGGGAAGAACAAAUGUGUAAGUAACUGUGCACGUCUUGACGGUACCUAAUCAGAAAGCCACGGCUAACUACGUG